UCAGCACGCAGUUCCGCAGCCACGCUAGCGGUUUCUAGGUUGUCUGGUGGGUGGAGAAAAUUUGACGAUGAAGAACACGUUGAAAAAAAACGUCGCUUAGGAAAGCAGCAGCAGGCGCGACGAUUCCAGCAAUGCAAGAACUGUGAAACACCGCCUUCCCAGAAGUCAGAACCAACCUGGAUAGGCGAAAACGAACAGGUGGCUUUCAAGCGAGGCCUUGGCUGGCUGUGCUUAGUGACGGCUCCCGUGCAGGCGGCAUUGCAUCAACGCACCACCGGGUUUCACCGUUACAGCCGUACAAACUCCUAGACGACAGCUCCAACGUGAACGCGGUAGAAAACGAGCUAAGCAGGGAGAAGCGGACCAAUUGGCAACACCCGCACCACUCUUUGCAUUCGUCAGAUCAUACUUAAAGAAUUCCAGAAGGAAGCAGUUGAUGGAGCGGCGCCGCUGUAGCGGCAACGCUACAUAUGAAGUGAUGAAAGUAUGAAGCUAAACCAAAGAAGCUACGCAAGUCCUUGGUGCAUUAAGACACAGAGGUCUGAGAUCUGAGUAUUGUCAUGCUAUUUUAUUUUCUUUCCUCGCUUUUUAUUCUGAUGUGUUUUUUAUAUGUAACUUGGGUUCUGUGUCUACUUUUAUGUUGCCACUCUACUAAUUUGAUGUUCCGUAACUUUUAAUGUGCGUUCAUGCCUCUGUGUUUAUCUGCGUGG
Dermacentor albipictus is the source of this 710-nucleotide non-coding RNA. Lineage: Eukaryota; Metazoa; Arthropoda; Arachnida; Ixodida; Ixodidae. The record is from RefSeq and is a predicted model, not a curated record.